CCUACGGGAGGCAGCAGUGAGGAAUAUUGGUCAAUGGACGAGAGUCUGAACCAGCCAAGUAGCGUGAAGGAUGACUGCCCUAUGGGUUGUAAACUUCUUUUAUAUGGGAAUAAAAUGUUCCACGUGUGGGUUUUUGUAUGUACCAUAUGAAUAAGGAUCGGCUAACUCCGUGCCAGCAGCCGCGGUAAUACGGAGGAUUCGAGCGUUAUCCGGAUUUAUUGGGUUUAAAGGGAGCGUAGGUGGAUUGUUAAGUCAGUUGUGAAAGUUUGCGACUCAACCGUAAAAUUGCAGUUGAAACUGGCAGUCUUGAGUACAGUAGAGGUGGGCGGAAUUCGUGGUGUAGCGGUGAAAUGCUUAGAUAUCACGAAGAACUCCGAUUGCGAAGGCAGCUCACUGGACUGCAACUGACACUGAGGCUCGAAAGUGUGGGUAUCAAACAGGAUUAGAUACCCCAGUAGUC
This 460-nucleotide ribosomal RNA is filed under the name uncultured bacterium. RNAcentral describes it as "partial 16S ribosomal RNA". It matches the Rfam family "Bacterial small subunit ribosomal RNA", at positions 338 to 795 of the family's 1533-position model. The record is from RNAcentral.